Long non-coding RNA from Oreochromis niloticus (Nile tilapia), 2512 nucleotides. The record is from Ensembl. NCBI's taxonomy places the organism in Eukaryota, Metazoa, Chordata, Actinopteri, Cichliformes, Cichlidae.
AAACAGGAUCUCAGAGGCUGGCAACUCUUUGGGGGGGAAUAACACGCAGAAAACACUACUAUCGCUAAUAUUUUCAAGGGGGUUUGAUGUCCCAGAGCUUUCACACCUCCACACAAGAUGGCCAGCCUCGUAGGGUAGGAUGAGGAGGAGGAAGAGGAAGCUGCACUCUUCCUCCUUUCGAUAGCGCAGAGGCGAGGAGCAGAUGGUGCGAGAGAUUGGAAACAUCGUCUGGAGUCGGCCAACCCUGGGCUAAUGGCAAGCUGUGCUGGCAGCGCCGCCCAAACAGUAGCAGAAACUGAGGGCGCCGGGAUAAAACUCUCUUCUCCACAGAUCUAGUGCGGAUGCCUUGUCUAGAAUCAGUUUCAUCGAAACAAACUGGCAUUGGUCUAAAUCCACAAAAUUCCUAACACCUGGCAGGAGAUGCUGCGGGGUAAACCCAGUGUUACCUUUGGAGAAAGUACCAUCACUGAGGUAGUUUCUAUGCAACGACGAAACGUUCAGUGGGGUGGCCGGGUCAGUGCACCAGGGCCCAGAAGAAGCCCCAGUGGAUUGUGGGGGUGGGAGUGGCAGAGAACAGCCAUCUGCUGCAGGAGAACAGCUAUUUUUCAUCAAGGGAGAGAAAAGAGUAAACUCAUCGACCUUUAGGGACCCAAGCAGCUCAUUUUGCCUCUCCCGCCUGAUGUUCGGAGGCUCUGCUGCUGCUGACAGCUCCUGCAUGUCUCGGUUUAAAAACAGUAGCUGUCACAGAUCACGGCAGGCACGCUGGGGAUUAAGAAGACAGUGAUACCUGCCAACAUGACAUAAGCGUGAACUGUCGCCGAUGAUUGACGACGUAACUGGAGAUGCUGUCUUUCUUCGGUUUAUUGUCCUCCUGACCUUGAGUCCUCAAAAACCCUUUCUUCUCAGCUUCAUCUCCACUGCUUUGCACACAGCAGCUACAGCAACCGUAGCUCAUUUUUAACUCGGCAAUGCCGCCACUCCCCCCUCCGAGGUUUGCUGCACAGGUUCAUAUGAGGACAAGGAAGGCAGCUGGGUGCCAGAUGAGAACGGUAAUUAGGCCGCUAUCCACCGGACUUUGGUUACAGGUGCAGAUCUGCCUGCAGGGAUGAACAAAGCUGUCAAUGGAAAAGAUCAUUCAUGCUGAAACAACAGAAAAGAAGGUGGGGGGAGACUGGCCAGCUUCUGCUACAGAGAGCCUGGGCCAAGGCAAGAUAAAUCGCUCUGAGUGGCAUCGCGACAAGCCGAAAGCAGGCGUAUAAAUCAUUUUCCUGGGAGCUUUAAGAGCAAAAAGUGGAGGCUCUGAUUUUAGCUCGAGCGGCUGUGCACAGAUAGAGCUAUCACCAGCCAGUCUGGGCUACCUGCUGCUGGUGCUGUUUUUGAUCAAACGUGUUUAAUUAGACAAGAGAGCCAAAGAUGUUGUAGGAGUGGAGUCCUUCUGAGAAUUAUAGUGACUCUAAAGAAUCUCAGAAAGGUCUACAUAGGAGCCUUCCAGUGGCAAACAGCAGGAAAAGCCCAUUAUGUUGGCAUGUUUGUUGCAUGCUACAUUCUCUCUAUGUUUUGCAGUGGUUAGGUGUUCACAUACAUGUGGCCUGAUAGUAUCAUUUCACAGUUCACAACGUGACUGGACAUUAAGUGGUUCAUAAAGAUGAUUUUUAGAGAAUCAUUUUAGAAAAAUGACAACACAAAGGCUGCAAUGGCCACUUUAUUAGUUACAACCGUUCAACCGCUUAUUAAAAUGGAAAUCAGUCAGUCACAUGGCUGCAAUUCACUGCAUGUAAGCAUGUACACAUGGUUAAAACAACCUGCUGAAGUUCAAGCUGAGCAAAUGUCUUGUUGAUGCCAGAGCUCAGAAAAGAAUGGCUGAUUCAAACUGAUAGGAAGCCAACAGUUACUCAAAUUACCACUUUUUACAACCAAGGUAUGCAGAAGAGCAUCUUUGAAUCCACAGCAGAGGAGCAGAAGACCACCGGGUCCCACUUUUGUCAGCUAAGAACAGCAAACUGAGGCUAUAAUUUGCAAAGACUCACCAAAACUGGACAAUCGACUGUCCGUCACAUUCAAUGAAGAUGUGAGAAUGAGAUUAAUAAUACAAUAAUACUCCAGCAUGAAGCGUACGGGACCACGCGUGGCUGUCCAGAGCCAGCUGUUCCCAGUUGUCUACAUCAAUCAGCAUUGCUUUCAGAUCCCUGUUGAUGGAGUCUUUCUGAACAAUAGCAGAUUGAAAAAAUGUUCCCUGGUGUCCUGAGCCUUGAUCUCUACUCUCUGAGAAACAUGCCCAGUGCCUUGUUGAAUUUGUCCCAUUUAGAAUUAAGACAUGAGACAAAACGGGGUCCAACCCAGUACUAGCAAGCUGUACUUAAUAAAGUAGCUGUUCAGUGUCAAUGUCAAAUGUAUUUUGCUUUUUUUUUUUAUGAAUAAGUAGAUAAAAUUAUUUUUGUGCUGUUCUGAGUAUAAACUAUAUUUUUCACUUAUUUUGUAGAUAAAAUAUACUUUAUUUUUGCCCAAAGCUGGG